This is a long non-coding RNA of Malus domestica (apple), 796 nucleotides long. RefSeq lists it as uncharacterized. The record is from RefSeq and is a predicted model, not a curated record. Lineage: Eukaryota; Viridiplantae; Streptophyta; Magnoliopsida; Rosales; Rosaceae.
UAAGAAACUCCAGCCUAUCUCACUAAAAACCCAAACGUACAUCCAUAUCAGAAAUAAGUCUCCCAUUUUCCUCAACCCACUCUCUCUUUUGCUCUCAGACCCCAUAUCUCUUUAAAAUGAAAAUUAGCUUUCAUUCUUUCUCAUUUUUCUCAAUCCUCGCAGCCAUCUCAUCAUUUCAAACCUCCCAUUGUCUUCUCAGUUUGGCACCCCUCUUCAUACAAAAAGCCAAACAAUAUACAUACCCCGUGUCUCUCGACCCCAUCCAUGGUGGAGCAAAACAUACAUGUUUGAUUCCUCUAUGAACUAGAAGCUGAACACAGCAAAGGAAAGGAGAAAACAAUGAAGAUUGUGCAGAUCCGGGUAUUUCGAAGAAACACUCGGAUCCAUGAUAGAUCCGAGAGAAAGAAUGCUCAAACUGGAGAUCCACUGGACGAAAGGCAGGACACAUCACAAAGGCCAUGAUCUAUCGAUUUGGAAGGUGGAUCACUGAUAGAUCCGUGGGAAGGAAAGUGGAUGGAUAAACAUCAGCUUCAAUGGACAAAAACGGCACAAGCUUCCAAGAGCCCAUAUCGGAGCAUCUGGCAGAUUCCCAGAAAUUGAAGACUGUAGAAAAGUCCCCUACAGAGAAGGAACCCACUGCAAAUUUUUCUCCCUGCGUCUCCUUAAAGUCUGCUCAAGUUCUGGAUCAAAAGGAAGCAGUUUCUGUACUAUUGAACGGGUGCUGACCAUGCACAGAUUAUCUUUGUAAUCUGCACUGUAUUGUUGUAGUCUGUGAAAAAUAAAAUAAAAACGAAAA